GUUAUGGGGUGGCUAUGGGGCACAGGGGCGGUUAUGGGGUGGUUGUGGGGCAGUUAUGGGGCACAGGCGGUGGCUAUGGGGCAGUUGUGGGGUUCCUAUGGGGUCGCUAUGGGGCACAGUGGUUCCUAUGGGGUCCCUACAGGGUCUCUGUGGGAUCUCAGUGUGUCCUUAUGGGGUCCUUAUGGGGUCCUUAUGGGGUUCUAUGGGUCCCUAUGGGUCUGUGUGUCCCUAUGGGUCCCUAUGGGUCCUUAUGGGGUCGUUAUGGGGCCGUUUUGGGGCCGCCCUGCAGCCAUGGGGGAGCCGAGCGACCUGGGUUCCUAUGGGGUCCCUAUGGUUUGCUACAGGUUCCUACAGGUUCUAUGGGGUUUUAUGGGGUCCUUAUGGGGUUCUAUGGGUCUGUGGGUCCCUAUGGGUCCUUAUGGGGUCGUUAUGGGGUCGUUAUGGGGCCAUUUUGGGGCCGGCCUG
Molecule: long non-coding RNA, 465 nt
Filed under: Phasianus colchicus (ring-necked pheasant)
Lineage: Eukaryota; Metazoa; Chordata; Aves; Galliformes; Phasianidae
Description: lncRNA (ENSPCLG00000018876.1)
Source: RNAcentral